Molecule: ribosomal RNA, 112 nt
Filed under: Enneapterygius etheostoma
Lineage: Eukaryota; Metazoa; Chordata; Actinopteri; Blenniiformes; Tripterygiidae
Description: partial 16S ribosomal RNA
Source: RNAcentral
UGCUUAAACGCUAGCUUAAUUCCACCCCUAACCUAACAAUACCCCUACCCCCUGAUGCUUUAUGCAAUUAAACUAAACCAUUCUCCCUCUUUAGUACAGGCGAUGGAAAAAG